GUCGAGCGGUAGCACAGGGAGCUUGCUCCUGGGUGACGAGCGGCGGANGGGUGAGUAAUGUCUGGGAAACUGCCUGAUGGAGGGGGAUAACUACUGGAAACGGUAGCUAAUACCGCAUAACGUCUACGGACCAAAGUGGGGGACCUUCGGGCCUCAUGCCAUCAGAUGUGCCCAGAUGGGAUUAGCUAGUAGGUGGGGUAAUGGCUCACCUAGGCGACGAUCCCUAGCUGGUCUGAGAGGAUGACCAGCCACACUGGAACUGAGACACGGUCCAGACUCCUACGGGAGGCAGCAGUGGGGAAUAUUGCACAAUGGGCGCAAGCCUGAUGCAGCCAUGCCGCGUGUGUGAAGAAGGCCUUCGGGUUGUAAAGCACUUUCAGCGAGGAGGAAGGGNNNNNUGUUAAUAGCANNNUGCAUUGACGUUACUCGCAGAAGAAGCACCGGCUAACUCCGUGCCAGCAGCCGCGGUAAUACGGAGGGUGCAAGCGUUAAUCGGAAUUACUGGGCGUAAAGCGCACGCAGGCGGUUUGUUAAGUCAGAUGUGAAAUCCCCGCGCUUAACGUGGGAACUGCAUUUGAAACUGGCAAGCUAGAGUCUUGUAGAGGGGGGUAGAAUUCCAGGUGUAGCGGUGAAAUGCGUAGAGAUCUGGAGGA
This 653-nucleotide ribosomal RNA is filed under the name uncultured bacterium. RNAcentral describes it as "bacterial SSU rRNA". It matches the Rfam family "Bacterial small subunit ribosomal RNA", at positions 61 to 705 of the family's 1533-position model. The record is from RNAcentral.